CUCGUAGAGCUUUGCAGAGUCUCCCCAUCCUGUCAUUCCUGCUCAGAACACCUGCCUGUCCCAGCCCAGAUGUGUGUGACUGAUGUGCGGGAGCCCUCCAAAUUGCAGUGCCAGCCAGCACAGGGCUCCCAAUCCAGAUCCAGAUGCCAAAGCGCUUUUCGCCACAAAGAGGCAGAAAUCAGUUUGCCUGCCCCUGGAAAUGCAGUCACCUCUGGGGAGAAACACGGCAGCUGUUUAACCGCACGCAGGAACAGUUCAGGAAUGGAAGUGAAAAAGACUCCUGUGUCCAGCUGAAACUGCAGUAAGAAAAAAGAAGUGUUCUUAUACCUGGAAGUGCC
Long non-coding RNA from Gopherus evgoodei (Goodes thornscrub tortoise), 338 nucleotides. RefSeq lists it as uncharacterized. The record is from RefSeq and is a predicted model, not a curated record. The transcript has 3 exons. NCBI's taxonomy places the organism in Eukaryota, Metazoa, Chordata, Testudines, Testudinidae.